GCUGUGAUGGCCGAGUGGUUUAAGGCAUAGCAUUUGAAUUGCUAUGUAGGAUUUUGUUUACCAAGGGUUCAAAUUCCUCUCUUUCCG
This 87-nucleotide transfer RNA is filed under the name Solanum tuberosum (potato). It matches the Rfam family "tRNA". From Rfam's summary of the family: Transfer RNA (tRNA) molecules are approximately 80 nucleotides in length. Their secondary structure includes four short double-helical elements and three loops (D, anti-codon, and T loops). The record is from Rfam by way of RNAcentral. Lineage: Eukaryota; Viridiplantae; Streptophyta; Magnoliopsida; Solanales; Solanaceae.